Molecule: ribosomal RNA, 495 nt
Filed under: uncultured bacterium
Lineage: Bacteria
Description: partial 16S ribosomal RNA
Rfam family: Bacterial small subunit ribosomal RNA
Source: RNAcentral
AUGAACGCUGGCGGCGUGCCUAAUACAUGCAAGUCGAGCGCACGGACGAGAAGCUUGCUUCUCUGAUGUUAGCGGCGGACGGGUGAGUAACACGUGGAUAACCUACCUAUAAGACUGGGAUAACUUCGGGAAACCGGAGCUAAUACCGGAUAAUAUUUUGAACCGCAUGGUUCAAAAGUGAAAGACGGUCUUGCUGUCACUUAUAGAUGGAUCCGCGCUGCAUUAGCUAGUUGGUAAGGUAACGGCUUACCAAGGCAACGAUGCAUAGCCGACCUGAGAGGGUGAUCGGCCACACUGGAACUGAGACACGGUCCAGACUCCUACGGGAGGCAGCAGUAGGGAAUCUUCCGCAAUGGGCGAAAGCCUGACGGAGCAACGCCGCGUGAGUGAUGAAGGUCUUCGGAUCGUAAAACUCUGUUAUUAGGGAAGAACAUAUGUGUAAGUAACUGUGCACAUCUUGACGGUACCUAAUCAGAAAGCCACGGCUAACUACGU